GACGAACGCUGGCGGCGUGCUUAACACAUGCAAGUCGAACGGAAAGGCCCCUUUGGGGGUACUCGAGUGGCGAACGGGUGAGUAACACGUGAGUAACCUGCCCUUGACUUCGGGACAACUUCAGGAAACUGGGGCUAAUACCGGUUAGGAAUCCUUGCUGCAUGGUGGGGGUUGGAAAGCUUAGGCGGUUUUGGAUGGACCGGCGGCUUAUCUGCGUGUUGGUGGGGUAGUGGCUUACCAAGGCUUCGACGGGUAGCCGAGCUGAGAGGGUGACCGGACACACUGGAACUGAGACACGGUCCAGACUCCUAGGGGAGGCAGCAGUAGGGAAUAUUCGGCAAGGGGCGAAAGCCUGACGGAGAAAUGCCGCGUGGGUGAUGAAGGUCUUCGGAUCGGAAAAAUCUGUGGUUGGGGAAGAAAAAAUGUGUAAGGAACUAUGGACGUCCUGACGGUACCUAAUGAGAAAGCAACGGCUAACUACGUG
Molecule: ribosomal RNA, 484 nt
Filed under: uncultured bacterium
Lineage: Bacteria
Description: partial 16S ribosomal RNA
Rfam family: Bacterial small subunit ribosomal RNA
Source: RNAcentral